RNAcentral lists this ribosomal RNA (495 nucleotides) under uncultured archaeon. RNAcentral describes it as "bacterial SSU rRNA". It matches the Rfam family "Archaeal small subunit ribosomal RNA", at positions 314 to 813 of the family's 1478-position model. The record is from RNAcentral.
AUCCAGGCCCUACGGGGCGCAGCAGGCGCGAAAACUUUACAAUGCGGGCAACCGUGAUAAGGGAACCUCGAGUGCCUGUAAAUGCAGGCUGUUCAGGUGCCUAAAACACACCUGAAGAAAGGGCCGGGCAAGACCGGUGCCAGCCGCCGCGGUAAUACCGGCGGCUCGAGUGGUGGCCGCUUUUAUUGGGCUUAAAGCGUUCGUAGCUGGGUUGUUAAGUCUCUUGGGAAAUCUGGCGGCUUAACCGUCAGGCGUCUAAGGGAUACUGGCAAUCUUGGAACCGGGAGAGGUGAGGGGUACUUCGGGGGUAGGAGUGAAAUCCUGUAAUCCUCGAGGGACCACCUGUGGCGAAGGCGCCUCACCAGAACGGCUUCGACAGUGAGGGACGAAAGCUGGGGGAGCAAACCGGAUUAGAUACCCGGGUAGUCCCAGCCGUAAACUAUGCGCGUUAGGUGUAUCGGUGACCACGAGUUACCGAGGUGCCGAAGGGAAACC